Molecule: ribosomal RNA, 253 nt
Filed under: uncultured bacterium
Lineage: Bacteria
Description: partial 16S ribosomal RNA
Rfam family: Bacterial small subunit ribosomal RNA
Source: RNAcentral
UACGAAGGGUGCAAACGUUGCUCGGAAUCAUUGGGCGUAAAGCGCGCGUAGGCGGCUUUGCAAGUCGGGUGUGAAAUCCCCAGGCUUAACCUGGGAACUGCAUUCGAGACUGCAUUGCUAGAGUAUGGGAGAGGGAAGUGGAAUUUCCGGUGUAGCGGUGAAGUGCGUAGAUAUCGGAAGGAACAUCAGUGGCGAAAGCGACUUCCUGGACCAAUACUGACGCUCAUGUGCGAAAGCGUGGGGAGCAAACAGG